GUGGGUGUAGCUCAGCGGUUAGAGCGCCGGGUUGUGGCCCCGGAGGCCGGGGGUUCAAAUCCCCUCACUCACCCCA
RNAcentral lists this transfer RNA (76 nucleotides) under Candidatus Tectomicrobia bacterium RIFCSPLOWO2_02_FULL_70_19. RNAcentral's name for it is "tRNA-His". It matches the Rfam family "tRNA". From Rfam's summary of the family: Transfer RNA (tRNA) molecules are approximately 80 nucleotides in length. Lineage: Bacteria; Pseudomonadati; Candidatus Tectimicrobiota. RNAcentral also lists the same sequence under 2 other names. The record is from RNAcentral.